AGUGAACGCUGGCGGUAGGCCUAGCACAUGCAAGUCGAACGGCAGCACAGUAAGAGCUUGCUCUUACGGGUGGCGAGUGGCGGACGGGUGAGGAAUACAUCGGAAUCUACUUUUUCGUGGGGGAUAACGUAGGGAAACUUACGCUAAUACCGCAUACGACCUACGGGUGAAAGCAGGGGAUCUUCGGACCUUGCGCGAUUGAAUGAGCCGAUGUCGGAUUAGCUAGUUGGCGGGGUAAAGGCCCACCAAGGCGACGAUCCGUAGCUGGUCUGAGAGGAUGAUCAGCCACACUGGAACUGAGACUCGGUCCAGACUCCUACGGGAGGCAGCAGUGGGGAAUAUUGGACAAUGGGCGCAAGCCUGAUCCAGCCAUACCGCGUGGGUGAAGAAGGCCUUCGGGUUGUAAAGCCCUUUUGUUGGGAAAGAAAAGCAGCAGGUUAAUACCCCGCUGUUCUGACGGUACCCAAAGAAUAAGCACCGGCUAACUUCGUG
This 492-nucleotide ribosomal RNA is filed under the name uncultured bacterium. RNAcentral describes it as "partial 16S ribosomal RNA". It matches the Rfam family "Bacterial small subunit ribosomal RNA", at positions 29 to 507 of the family's 1533-position model. The record is from RNAcentral.